UAACAAAGCAGAUUUAUUUGCGAUUGUAGUGAGGGUUUCAUAAAUUGAACUUCGAGUACCGAUUGGAGGGCAAGUCUGGUGCCAGCAGCCGCGGUAAUUCCAGCUCCAAUAGCAUAUAUUAAAGUUGUUGCAGUUAAAAAGCUCGUAGUUGGAUUUCUGGGUCCGUCUAUUGAACCUCAAGGGGCUAUUUAGACAACCCAUUAGCCUGUCUUUCAGGCCAUUACUGUGAGAAAAUUAAAGUGUUUCAAGCAAGUUGUUGUUGGAAUACAUUAGCAUGGAAUAAUAUAAAACGUCUAGAAUGUUGGUCAAGUUCUAGAAAGUGAUUAAUAGGGAUAGUUGGGGGCAUUAGUAUUUAAUUGUCAGAGGUGAAAUUCUUGGAUUUUUUAAAGACUAACUUAUGCGAAAGC
Molecule: ribosomal RNA, 407 nt
Filed under: uncultured ciliate
Lineage: Eukaryota; Ciliophora
Description: bacterial SSU rRNA
Rfam family: Eukaryotic small subunit ribosomal RNA
Source: RNAcentral